UAGCGUUAGCUGGAGAGAGGCCG
This 23-nucleotide non-coding RNA is filed under the name Rattus norvegicus (Norway rat). Lineage: Eukaryota; Metazoa; Chordata; Mammalia; Rodentia; Muridae. The record is from RNAcentral.